GAAUUAUUUUAUUUUGGGCUUCUAACUCAAACCAAAGAAUUAAAUCUUCUUAUAAUUCU
Molecule: transfer RNA, 59 nt
Filed under: Fuelleborniella sp. FuspCA
Lineage: Eukaryota; Metazoa; Arthropoda; Insecta; Psocodea; Caeciliusidae
Description: tRNA-Ser
Source: RNAcentral